Molecule: ribosomal RNA, 468 nt
Filed under: uncultured bacterium
Lineage: Bacteria
Description: partial 16S ribosomal RNA
Rfam family: Bacterial small subunit ribosomal RNA
Source: RNAcentral
GACGAACGCUGGCUGCGUGCUUAACACAUGCAAGUCGAACGGAAAGGCCCUGCUUUUGUGGGGUGCUCGAGUGGCGAACGGGUGAGGAACACGUGAGUAACCUGCCCUUGACUUUGGGAUAACUUCAGGAAACUGGGGCUAAUACCGGAUAGGAGCUCCUGCUGCAUGGUGGGGGUUGGAAAGUUUCGGCGGUUGGGGAUGGACUCGCGGCUUAUCAGCUUGUUGGUGGGGUAGUGGCUUACCAAGGCUUUGACGGGUAGCCGGCCUGAGAGGGUGACCGGCCACAUUGGGACUGAGAUACGGCCCAGACUACUAAGGGAGGCAGCAGUGGGGAAUAUUGCACAAUGGGCGGAAGCCUGAUGCAGCAACGCCGCGUGCGGGAUGACGGCCUUCGGGUUGUAAACCGCUUUGGCCUGUGACGAAGCGUGAGUGACGGUAAUGGGUAAAGAAGCACCGGCUAACUACGUG